ACCUGCCCAGAAGCGGGGGAUAACACCUGGAAACAGAUGCUAAUACCGCAUAACAACUUGGACCGCAUGGUCCGAGCUUGAAAGAUGGCUUCGGCUAUCACUUUUGGAUGGUCCCGCGGCGUAUUAGCUAGAUGGUGGGGUAACGGCUCACCAUGGCAAUGAUACGUAGCCGACCUGAGAGGGUAAUCGGCCACAUUGGGACUGAGACACGGCCCAAACUCCUACGGGAGGCAGCAGUAGGGAAUCUUCCACAAUGGACGAAAGUCUGAUGGAGCAACGCCGCGUGAGUGAAGAAGGGUUUCGGCUCGUAAAACUCUGUUGUUAAAGAAGAACAUAUCUGAGAGUAACUGUUCAGGUAUUGACGGUAUUUAACCAGAAAGCCACGGCUAACUACGUGCCAGCAGCCGCGGUAAUACGUAGG
RNAcentral lists this ribosomal RNA (421 nucleotides) under Lactiplantibacillus plantarum. RNAcentral's name for it is "bacterial SSU rRNA". It matches the Rfam family "Bacterial small subunit ribosomal RNA", at positions 124 to 531 of the family's 1533-position model. The record is from RNAcentral. Lineage: Bacteria; Bacillati; Bacillota; Bacilli; Lactobacillales; Lactobacillaceae.